This 468-nucleotide ribosomal RNA is filed under the name uncultured bacterium. RNAcentral's name for it is "partial 16S ribosomal RNA". It matches the Rfam family "Bacterial small subunit ribosomal RNA", at positions 28 to 507 of the family's 1533-position model. The record is from RNAcentral.
GACGAACGCUGGCGGCGUGCUUAACACAUGCAAGUCGAACGGAAAGGCCCUGCUUUUGUGGGGUGCUCUAGUGGCGAACGGGUGAGUAACACGUGAGUAACCUGCCCUUUACUUUUGGAUAACUUCAUGAAACUGGGUCUAAUACCGGAUAGGAGCUCCUGCUUCUUGGUGGGGGUUGGAAAGUUUCGGCGGUUGGGGAUGGACUCGCGGCUUAUCAGCUUGUUGGUGGGGUAGUGGCUUACCAAGGCUUUGACGGGUGGCCGGCCUGAGAGGGUGACCGGCCACAUUGGGACUGAGAUACGGCCCAGACUCCUACGGGAGGCAGAAGUGGGGAAUAUUGCACAAUGGGCGGAAGCCUGAUGCAGCAACGCCGCGUGCGGGAUGACGGCCUUCGGGUUGUAAACCGCUUUCGCCUGUGACGAAGCGUGAGUGACGGUAAUGGGUAAAGAAGCACCGGCUAACUACGUG